CAGAAAAGCAGAAAGCUGUUAGUGCACUCACUUUUUUUCCAAAUCCUUGCCUUGUGUUCCAAAUCCAGGGGCUCCGAAGUACAUUUCCAAUCUAAAGGAGUAGACCACGAGGAGCAGGUUUUCUUACUAAUGUUACGGCAGAAUGUACUAACUGCUAAUCACAGCCUACGCGAGUCGUACCGAUGUACCAUAAUUCCAGUGAUCCACUUGACUCCGUGGUUAAAUUAAACAAACACUGAUUUAUUUCCAAACAUGUCCAAAACUUACAUGCACGGUCAGGGAUGUUAAAACACGGUAAAACACAGUCCGACACGGUAAGAAAACCGUGUGACUCCACAGCUAGCUUCUAUGAUUCUCACUCUGAAUCUGUGGCACCAUUUUGUUUUUACAGCACAUGGCCAGCAAUAUAAACAAGGAGCGCCCUCUACAGGACAUACUAUACAUUUAUCACACAUGAUGAACCAGUCUGUUCUAGGCAUAACAAUGCAACAAAAAACAGUAAUUAAACAUUAUUAAACUCACUAAAUAUGCUUAUUCUGGUAAUAGAAUAAAAGGAAUUACAAGAUAAUUCUUGCCCCAUACAAUGGUCGUUGUGUAUCACCCCUCA
Long non-coding RNA from Amblyraja radiata (thorny skate), 607 nucleotides. RefSeq lists it as uncharacterized. The record is from RefSeq and is a predicted model, not a curated record. NCBI's taxonomy places the organism in Eukaryota, Metazoa, Chordata, Chondrichthyes, Rajiformes, Rajidae. The transcript is spliced from 4 exons.